This 3206-nucleotide long non-coding RNA is filed under the name Pan troglodytes (chimpanzee). RNAcentral's name for it is "long non-coding RNA NONPTRT010221". The record is from RNAcentral. Lineage: Eukaryota; Metazoa; Chordata; Mammalia; Primates; Hominidae.
GCCUUGGCCUCCCAGAUUGCUGGGAUUACAGGUGUGAGCCACCGUGCCUGGCCCUAUAUAACUCUUUGUGCAAGUUUUUACCCCUAAAAGAUAUCUGCCAUCUCAGCCAUGGAACAGACACUGUAAGAACAUGAAGGCUCAAGGGCAGGGCUGGCUACAUAAUUUGUGGGACCCAUUACAAAAUGAACAUGGAGAAAAAACGAGAAGAAAGUGUAGUACAAGAGUCGGGGUCUCCCUAUGUUUCCCAGGCUGGCCUCGAACUCCUGACCUCAAGUGAUCCUCCCACCUCAGCCUCCCAGAGUGCUGGGAUUAAAGACGUGAGCCACGGCACCUGGCCUGAAUUUUCCUCAAAUUCAAAAAAUGCUGAUGAAGGUUUGGCUAAAAUCUUUGGUGAGUUACCCCACUCCCUGUGGAACCUCAGGCUGGAUUUGAAGAGUUGCGUGCAUGGUCCUCAUUGUCUCCCAGGUAACCUGUUCCCGCUGCUGUGAAGGGAAGGCAGGUGCUCUUCCUUGAGGCUAGAAUCUGUCUACGUGUCACAGUCUCAGGAAAUUAAGCAAAACAGAUGAUAAACACCUCAAAAGGACCCUACUGAGCAUGAGUGGAGCAGACCAGGGCCAUAUGGGACUGCGGCGUCAGAUGCCACCUCACACUAGCUGUGACACACCUGCCUCGCCAGUUUCUGCUCUGAGGCCCCAAAGCCAAGCUGAACCUCCUCCAGGGGUUCUCAGCCCUAACUGAGCAUGAGAACCCCUGGGGCAAUCCUCUUUUUAACAAUUGAGACAUUCCACACACACCCCACAUCAGAUUUUGGGGUGUGGGGAUAGACCUUCACAUUUGUAGUUUUCUAACCCUCCAGGGGACACUAGGCUGAGACUCAUUGGUCUCCACUCUGAACCUUCCAUUGAACAUGUGAGAAAAACUAAGGCCCAGGGAAGUCUUUAGCAGAGAGCUGAGACGGAGAAAAGGGUUCUGAACCACAGCUGUCUGCUGAAGGAAGCUGUCCAAAGGCCAGUGAAGUCUCUCCUGAGGGUGCCUGGGCUGUGCAUCAGGAGUGAAGGUUGAGGGUCACCUUAGGUGUGAGAAGGAGCAACUGGGAGAGUGGCGCUGAUGCUUCCCCCCGGGUUAGGAGGCAUUUGGAUCACAGAGCGAUGCCUGUUCAUUCCUGCUUGCAAGGGAGCAGAUCUCUCGACACCCGAUGGGCCUCUAUUCCGUUCCGGCAGCUGUCGGUGUCAGGAGCGCUGGGCUUGCUCCUCCCCACGGGAGCCAUCACAGAGGCCUCGGGCAGUCUGCAUAGACAACUGCCUGGCAGGUGACCAGGAGGGGAUGCAUGAGUAGAUGCAGGUAGCACUCGCAGUCCCCCUAGCUGUGCCCUCAGCACCUGCUGUCUAGGAGGCAGAAGCCUUGUUCUCGGCCUUGCAGGUGACCCCAGUGUCUCUGAAUUCGGCCCCAUAUGUGUAGGAGGGGAGUGAUUGCAUCUGAAGAUGGGAGUCCGGUUGGGGGUUUGGGAAGCUCCCAUCACCCCUCAAGAGUCCACUGACCAGCCCAGCUCACACCAGGUGGGCCUUGGCAUUGGAGGCCACGGCUCAACUCUGCAGUUCCCUCUGGGCAGCAUUUCCAGGGACUCGUAGGUCAGCACGGUCAUCAAGGACGGGUGGUGAGAGCAGCUCCUCAUUGUCCUGGUGACCCCGAUGGUUCAUUUUCUGGUGUCUCUGUGGUGAGCUCCUGUUACAUCAAGCGAGUGGAAACCACCGAGGACCAACAGCCCUGGAAAUGCACUGAGAAUGCAGGAUGAGUGGGGUUUGUGAGGACUGUUUUCUGUGACUUAGCAAGGAAAGCCUGGAAGGGAAAGUAAAACUGCUUCUUCCCAGGGAAGCCAGAAACCUAAGAACUUAAAAGGGAAGGAGAACUUAAUAUAUUUCAAAAAUGUAACCCUUGUGAAUUAGCAACAGCUUUAUAAACAAAGAGAUUUCCGAGCUUAUAGAAUCUAUUCUGCUUUGUUUCUGCCCCCAUGGCUCCUACCCCUGUUUUUGUGGGUGCAAUUUUCAGAUAGAACAUUUUUACACAAGCUUCAAAACUCUCUGAGGACAGCUUUCCCCUUUGCGUCUGUCGGGUCCCAGGCAGUCACAUCCCAGGAAGUGCUGGGGUUGGGCUCCUUGCUCCACAUCCUUCUUCAGUGGCACGAAGCGUGGGGUGGAGUGUGUGAGUCAUGUGUGAUCUUGGUGUGGGCUAUGGCUGGUCUGCAGCACCCCUUCAAUGACUGCUUCAAGGGCUUUUCAUGAUGCUUGUAGCUCAUGAGCUAGUGUUUCCUAGACGCUGUUUCCAGGUGUCUUGCAUGUCACACACUGGCCUACCAGGGCUGGAGUGAGAUCAUGAGCGCCAGAUUGUUGGUGAAGGAAGUUGACAGAGACAUCGAAUGUCGGUGAACAGGAGUGACCUUGGGUCUCAAUAAAUACUGUGGUCUACUGAAUCCAGAACCCACCCUUACCAGCAGGGCCCACUUCUUCCCCAGCAGGCCGAGCUCUUCCCCUCCUGUCUUCCCUGGCCCUUGCUUUGUAGCUCUGUGUGGCUGUGUCAUGUCUGGUUGUAUCUGUGUAUACUUCUGCCUCUCCCGCUAUCUAGAUGGCUCGGGGAGGCACACCACACACCAGGUCACCUUCCUCUCUGAACCCCCAGCACCUCAUACUGUUUCUGUGCAGAGAUAAGGCUGGGUGAAAGCUUGUGUGAAUGAUCUGAAGUCUUCUACUCUAGGCCAGUCUCCAGGAGCAUUAUGAUCUUUAGGAGGGUGGGCUUGGUUCCUCUGUACAAUAAUGGGUCAUAAAACUGAGUGGUCAAGAUCAUCCCGGUGAGGGCAGUCCGUGUGUUGCCAUAGUUGCUGUACCGGUUAAGAAUGCACCUGGCUGCAAUUUCCUGAAAACCUGACGUAUAGUGGCUUAAACAAAGAGUGGUUUAUUUUCCUUCUGUCAUAGCAAUCUGGGGGAGGCCACUGUGGCUUUGGCGCAGGAGGUCGGGAAAGGCCCGCUUCUCUGAUAUCACUGGGGGCCUCCCCAGUGCUUGUGUGGCAGAAUGACAAGAGGAAGAAGAAGGAGAAUUAUGGCACUGAGUAUCAUGAGAUUUGGGGUCAUAUAUCUUUAGUGGGCGGUGUUUGCUGCCCCAAAUGUCUCAUGCCAUUAAAAUGUUCUGGAAAUGAUUUAGGUAGUUGGAGUUUC